GACGAACGCUGGCGGCGUGCUUAACACAUGCCAGUCGAACGGAAAGGCCCUGCUUUUGUGGGGUGCUCGAGUGGCGAACGGGUGAGUAACACGUGAGUAACCUGCCCUUGACUUUGGGAUAACUUCAGGAAACUGGGGCUAAUACACGAUAGGAGCUCCUGCUGCAUGGGGGGGGUUGGAAAGUUUCGGCGGUUGGGGCUGGACUGGCGGCUUAUGCGCUUGUUGGGGGGGUAGUGGCUUAACAAGGCUUUGACGGGUAGCCCGCCUUGGAGCUUGACCGGCCACCUGGGUACUGCGGUACGGCCCAGUCGCCUACGUGAGGCAGCAGUCGGGAACAUUGCGCAAUGGGCGGACGCCUGUUGCAGCAACCCCCCGUGCGUGAUGACGGCUUUCUGGUGGUAAACCGCUUUCGCCUGUGAUGUAGCGUGAGUGACGGUAAUGGGUAAGGAAGCACCGGCUAACUACGUG
RNAcentral lists this ribosomal RNA (468 nucleotides) under uncultured bacterium. RNAcentral's name for it is "partial 16S ribosomal RNA". It matches the Rfam family "Bacterial small subunit ribosomal RNA", at positions 28 to 507 of the family's 1533-position model. The record is from RNAcentral.